RNAcentral lists this transfer RNA (69 nucleotides) under Tragelaphus scriptus (bushbuck). RNAcentral describes it as "tRNA-Gly". It matches the Rfam family "tRNA". From Rfam's summary of the family: Transfer RNA (tRNA) molecules are approximately 80 nucleotides in length. Their secondary structure includes four short double-helical elements and three loops (D, anti-codon, and T loops). Lineage: Eukaryota; Metazoa; Chordata; Mammalia; Artiodactyla; Bovidae. The record is from RNAcentral.
AUUCUUUNAGUAUCAAUAAGUACAACUGACUUCCAAUCAGUUAGUUUUGGUCUAANCCAAAAAAGAAUA